This 45-nucleotide non-coding RNA is filed under the name Echinostoma caproni. Lineage: Eukaryota; Metazoa; Platyhelminthes; Trematoda; Plagiorchiida; Echinostomatidae. The record is from RNAcentral.
GCACUUCUGACAAGUCCCAAACAGGACGAAACAACUGUCCAGUGC